This 468-nucleotide ribosomal RNA is filed under the name uncultured bacterium. Its description in RNAcentral is "partial 16S ribosomal RNA". It matches the Rfam family "Bacterial small subunit ribosomal RNA", at positions 28 to 507 of the family's 1533-position model. The record is from RNAcentral.
GACGAACGCUGGCGGCGUGCUUAACACAUGCAAGUCGAACGGAAAGGCCCUGCUUUUGUGGGGUGCUCGAGUGGCGAACGGGUGAGUAACACGUGAGUAACCUGCCCUUGACUUUGGGAUAACUUCAGGAAACUGGGGCUAAUACCGGAUAGGAGCUCCUGCUGCAUGGUGGGGGUUGGAAAGUUUCGGCGGUUGGGGAUGGACUCGCGGCUUAUCAGCUUGUUGGUGGGGUAGUGGCUUACCAAGGCUUUGACGGGUAGCCGGCCUGAGAGGGUGACCGGCCACAUUGGGACUGAGAUACGGCACAGACUCCUACGGGAGGCAGCAGUGGGGAAUAUUGCACCAUGGGCGGAAGCCUGAUGCAGCAACGCCGCGUGCGGGAUGACGGCCUUCGGGUUGUAAACCGCUUUCGCCUGUGACGAAGCGUGAGUGACGGUAAUGGGUAAAGAAGCACCGGCUAACUACGUG